This 340-nucleotide ribosomal RNA is filed under the name Flavobacterium sp. RNAcentral's name for it is "bacterial SSU rRNA". It matches the Rfam family "Bacterial small subunit ribosomal RNA", at positions 1 to 339 of the family's 1533-position model. The record is from RNAcentral. Lineage: Bacteria; Pseudomonadati; Bacteroidota; Flavobacteriia; Flavobacteriales; Flavobacteriaceae.
UAUACGAUGAAGAGUUUGAUCCUGGCUCAGGAUGAACGCUAGCGGCAGGCUUAACACAUGCAAGUCGAGGGGUAGAGUUAGCUUGCUAGCUUGAGACCGGCGCACGGGUGCGUAACGCGUAUGCAAUCUACCUUUUACAGGGGGAUAGCCCAGAGAAAUUUGGAUUAAUACCCCAUGGUAUAUGUGAAUGGCAUCAUUUAUAUAUUAAAGUCACAACGGUAAAAGAUGAGCAUGCGUCCCAUUAGCUAGUUGGUAAGGUAACGGCUUACCAAGGCUACGAUGGGUAGGGGUCCUGAGAGGGAGAUCCCCCACACUGGUACUGAGACACGGACCAGACUCC